CAAUUGAAUAAAACCAACAUGCAGAAGGAUGAGGCAGAAAAGGAGCACAGAGUAAAGAAGAAAAAUUUAAAAAGAAAAACUAAAAGGGACCUUAAGUCAGGAAACAGAAAAAUUGAGAUUGGAACUGACUGAUAGCAAGCAUUGUAACAGGAGCAGAAGGCUGUCGGAGGAGUGUCUGAAACUGACAGAACUGCUGAGCAAGUCUGAGCACCAACUGCACCUCUCAGGAUAUCAUGAAUACGGGCAUCAAGGAAAUGGCACAAAGAGUUACAUACCUUCCAUAUACUAGGCUCCCAGUUCAAUCCCAGGAACUGCAUGCCAGCCCACACCCCAAGCAUUACAGGAUGUGGCUCUGCUUGCUACUGACCACCACUGAGGUGGUCCGGCACUUCUGAGCCAGAGUGUGAACCCACAUCCUAGCCUGAACACUGAACUGUAAAAGACUGGCACCCUAGAUUUACUCUUUCUCUAGAAGUUCCUUGGCUAUAGAGAGGGAAUGAUGAACUGAAGUAAUGGUGUAUCCAGCAUGGCAGACUACGUGAGUGAACAAAAAAUGCACUUUAGACAGCAAAGUAUCCAGUCAAACCAAAG
Long non-coding RNA from Sorex araneus (European shrew), 591 nucleotides. RefSeq lists it as uncharacterized. The transcript has 5 exons. The record is from RefSeq and is a predicted model, not a curated record. Lineage: Eukaryota; Metazoa; Chordata; Mammalia; Eulipotyphla; Soricidae.